RNAcentral lists this transfer RNA (72 nucleotides) under Camelus bactrianus (Bactrian camel). It matches the Rfam family "tRNA". From Rfam's summary of the family: Transfer RNA (tRNA) molecules are approximately 80 nucleotides in length. Their secondary structure includes four short double-helical elements and three loops (D, anti-codon, and T loops). Lineage: Eukaryota; Metazoa; Chordata; Mammalia; Artiodactyla; Camelidae. RNAcentral also lists the same sequence under 3 other names. The record is from Rfam by way of RNAcentral.
GAGGAUAUAGCUCAGUGGUAGAGUGUAUGCUUAGCAUGCACAAGGUGCUGGGUUCAAUCCCCAGUACCUCCA